GAAACAAAAAGUGCAGCGGAGCGUGUUUGCAUUACUUUCAAAACGACGCAAAUAAUGAUUCAUUUUCGGAUUAUCGACUCCAAUUUUACGAUUUUC
Caenorhabditis elegans is the source of this 96-nucleotide non-coding RNA. The record is from Ensembl. Lineage: Eukaryota; Metazoa; Nematoda; Chromadorea; Rhabditida; Rhabditidae.